Molecule: long non-coding RNA, 1195 nt
Filed under: Gallus gallus (chicken)
Lineage: Eukaryota; Metazoa; Chordata; Aves; Galliformes; Phasianidae
Description: lncRNA (ENSGALG00010008499.1)
Source: RNAcentral
AUCUGAUGUUGCUAUGAUGUUGUUACGAGUGGGUAGUGUGACCUUGAGUGCUAAUGAUGAUAACAUAGGAUGAAUAAGCCCUACUGUUCUGAAGUGCUGAAGCUUCAUCUGAGAAUGGUCUUGAGUAGAAAAAAAUUGGCAAGGACUUGAUUUCUGGGGAGGUGCCCUACAACCCCUACUCACUGUUUGAGAAGAGGAAUUUGAUAUAAUGUAAUUGUGUAGCCUAAGAUGGAAUAUAGAAGAACCAUAAAAAACAAAACAAAAAAUCAUGCAAAACUGAAAUGGAAGAAUCGUCUUCCUCGAUCAUAAAUAUAAAUUCUACAUGAGCAUAAGGAAGGCAAACAAAUCGUCUUCAAACGAUGACAGAGAGAUGCCCUUCAGAAAAAAAAUCAUGGUUAAAAUUCCUUGUUAAUCCCUGAGCAGCAAAUUGUUUGAGAUAUCUGACAGUCAUUCUCGUCUCUUCAUACUCUUCUGUACUGGAAAAACAGUUGUUCUGGAGACUGCAGUGCCAAGGCCUGUCUAGUAAUCUGUGCAGUAACAGGGAAAAUGAAUUAUUAAACUGCUUUCUUUCUUUUAGUAAACAAAUACUCAAACUAAUGAACACCUCUUUCUUAUUUAUUUCCAUCCUCCUUCUCUCCAUUGGAUUGUGAAGUAUGGCUUGGAUCACAAGAUCACAGUGCAAUGUUCCUUGCAUGGCGUUCAGGGUGUAUGAAGGAGAAAAGGGAAGUGAAGCACAUGAUUCAAUUGCAAGUCACUAGACAUAAGGCUGCCGUUAGGUGCUGUGAUGCAGCAGCAGUUAAACUAGUCAUUCGUGAAAGAAAGGGCUAUGUGUUUGUGGUGGCAUGGCACAGAAGGCUGAGGAUAGAGUAAAAAACAGCAGCUAGCAUAAAAUUCUUCCUUUCAGAAGAUAAUCAUGUUGUGGCUCCUCAAUGAGUUUCAAACUGUUGCCUACUGUGUUGUCUGCUGUUGUUGUAUGGUUCUUAGGAGAGGAGUUAAAGAACGCUUCAGAUAGGUAGAGGCAAGGGAGAUGCUUUGGGGAAGAGUUUUGGCAGGAAUUUUUCCUUUGUUUUUUGUUCUCUUGGCCAAAAUAAGUGUUCAGGGCUUUCUUUAAACCUGAAUUGGAGAAGUAUUUUAGUGUGUGCAUAUGUGUGUGUCAGUUCUUGCAGUUUUUGAGUAAUAAAAUUCCGGUUUAAUC